ACGCACGCUGGCGGCGCGCUUAACACCUGCAAGUCGAACGGAAAGGCCUGCUUUCCCUUGUGGAUUGCGGGUACUCGAGUGGCGAACGGGUGAGUAACACGUGAGUGAUCUGCCCCCAACUUGGGUAUAAGCCUGGGAAACUGGGUCUAAUUCCCGAUAGGACUGCAGGGUGGUGCCUGUGGUGGAAAACGAUUUUCUAGUGGUUGGGGAUGAGCUCGCGGCCUAUCAGCUUGUUGGUGGGGUAAUGGCCUACCAAGGCGGCGACGGGUAGCCGGCCUGAGAGGGUGGACGGCCACAUUGGGACUGAGAUACGGCCCAGACUCCUACGGGAGGCAGCAGUGGGGAAUAUUGCACAAUGGGCGGAAGCCUGAUGCAGCGACGCCGCGUGGGGGAUGACGGCCUUCGGGUUGUAAACUCCUUUCGACCGCGAGGAAGCCACCUGGUUGGAAGGGUGGUGACGGUAGUGGUAGAAGAAGCACCGGCUAACUACGUG
This 493-nucleotide ribosomal RNA is filed under the name uncultured bacterium. Its description in RNAcentral is "partial 16S ribosomal RNA". It matches the Rfam family "Bacterial small subunit ribosomal RNA", at positions 29 to 507 of the family's 1533-position model. The record is from RNAcentral.